This 465-nucleotide ribosomal RNA is filed under the name uncultured bacterium. Its description in RNAcentral is "partial 16S ribosomal RNA". It matches the Rfam family "Bacterial small subunit ribosomal RNA", at positions 338 to 795 of the family's 1533-position model. The record is from RNAcentral.
CCUACGGGAGGCAGCAGUAGGGAAUUUUCGUCAAUGGGCGCAAGCCUGAACGAGCAAUGCCGCGUGAACGAGGAAGGUCUUCGGAUCGUAAAGUUCUGUUGAAGGGGAAAAAGAGCGGAGAGAGGAAAUGAACUCCGAUUGAUAUUACCCUUCGAGGAAGUCACGGCUAACUACGUGCCAGCAGCCGCGGUAAUACGUAGGUGGCGAGCGUUAUCCGGAAUGAUUGGGCGUAAAGGGUGCGUAGGCGGCCUGCUAAGUCUGGAGUGAAAGGUACUGGCUCAACCGGGACAGGCUCUGGAAACUGGCGGGCUAGAGAGCAGGAGAGGGCGGUGGAACUCCAUGGGUAGCGGUAAAAUGCGUAGAUAUAUGGAAGAACACCAGUGGCGAAGGCGGCCGCCUGGCCUGUUGGCUGACGCUGAGGCACGAAAGCGUGGGGAGCAAAUAGGAUUAGAUACCCGGGUAGUC